GACGAACGCUGGCGGCGUGCUUAACACAUGCAAGUCGAACGGAAAGGCCCCUUUGGGGGUACUCGAGUGGCGAACGGGUGAGUAACACGUGAGUAACCUGCCCUUGACUUCGGGAUAACUUCAGGAAACUGGGGCUAAUACCGGAUAGGAAUCCUUGCUGCAUGGUGGGGGUUGGAAAGCUUCGGCGGUUUUGGAUGGACUCGCGGCUUAUCAGCUUGUUGGUGGGGUAGUGGCUUACCAAGGCUUUGACGGGUAGCCGGCCUGAGAGGGCGACCGGCCACAUUGGGACUGAGAUACGGCCCAGACUCCUACGGGAGGCAGCAGUGGGGAAUAUUGCACAAUGGGCGUAAGCCUGAUGCAGCAACGCCGCGUGCGGGAUGACGGCCUUCGGGUUGUAAACCGCUUUCAGCAGGGGCGAAGCUUGUGGUGACGGUACCUGCAGAAGAAGCACCGGCUAACUACGUG
Molecule: ribosomal RNA, 465 nt
Filed under: uncultured bacterium
Lineage: Bacteria
Description: partial 16S ribosomal RNA
Rfam family: Bacterial small subunit ribosomal RNA
Source: RNAcentral